This 314-nucleotide unclassified non-coding RNA is filed under the name Hevea brasiliensis (rubber tree). The record is from RNAcentral. Lineage: Eukaryota; Viridiplantae; Streptophyta; Magnoliopsida; Malpighiales; Euphorbiaceae.
CUGAGGAUUCUAGUCAGCUGAAUAACGAGAGUCGGGAUGAAUCUAGUCUUGCCGGUAAAGGCACACAAAGGAAUUUGCGGAAGAGGACACGUGCUACUUCAUCUCAAAUCAUGGGUGAGAAUGAGCAUGAUGACAGUGAGGUACGCUCUGGCAGUGUUGUGGAAGGUCAACCACGGAAAAGACGACAGAGGGCUGUCCCAGCUGUGCGAGCUCCUGAGAAACGAUACAAUCUCCGGCGGACUAAAGUUGUAGAUGCUUCUAAAGACCCUUGUAAUGUUAAUAAAGAAGAUGCGCCUGUGAACCGUACAGAGGAG